GGUGUACAGAUACAAUCUGUA
RNAcentral lists this non-coding RNA (21 nucleotides) under Arabidopsis thaliana (thale cress). The record is from RNAcentral. Lineage: Eukaryota; Viridiplantae; Streptophyta; Magnoliopsida; Brassicales; Brassicaceae.